ACGAACGCUGGCGGCGUGCUUAACACAUGCAAGUCGAACGGAAAGGCCCUGCUUUUGUGGGGUGCUCGAGUGGCGAACGGGUGAGUAACACGUGAGUAACCUGCCCUUGACUUUGGGGUAACUUCAGGAAACUGGGGCUGAUACCGGAUAGGAGCUCCUGCUGCAUGGUGGGGGUUGGAAAGUUUCGGCGGUUGGGGAUGGACUCGCGGCUUAUCAGCUUGUUGGUGGGGUAGUGGCUUACCAAGGCUUUGACGGGUAGCCGGCCUGAGAGGGUGACCGGCCACAUUGGGACUGAGAUACAGCCCAGACUCCUACGGGAGGCAGCAGUGGGGAAUAUUGCACAAUGGGCGGAAGCCUGAUGCAGCAACGCCGCGUGCGGGAUGACGGCCUUCGGGUUGUAAACCGCUUUCGCCUGUGACGAAGCGUGAGUGACGGUAAUGGGUAAAGAAGCACCGGCUAACUACGUG
RNAcentral lists this ribosomal RNA (467 nucleotides) under uncultured bacterium. RNAcentral's name for it is "partial 16S ribosomal RNA". It matches the Rfam family "Bacterial small subunit ribosomal RNA", at positions 29 to 507 of the family's 1533-position model. The record is from RNAcentral.